This 444-nucleotide long non-coding RNA is filed under the name Elaeis guineensis (African oil palm). Its description in RNAcentral is "long non-coding RNA (EGUI_LNC059403)". The record is from RNAcentral. Lineage: Eukaryota; Viridiplantae; Streptophyta; Magnoliopsida; Arecales; Arecaceae.
UAGUUGUGUGAAUGAUCUUUUGACUUGAGAUGAUACUACUGCUUGCAGUGAGGCUGCUUGAGUUUGACUGACACAUAAACAUGAAUCUCAAUGAGUCCUUGUAGUGGAUGUUGGCGAUAGUUGGUCUACUGUAGGAAUAGGAUACGCUUCAAAAUGAGAUCUAUCGAUCUUGAUAGAGAGGAGUAGUCUUAUAGGAUUUGAGAGGCUAAGUUCGAGAGUCUGUGGCCACAAUAGUGUGAUUGAUGGAAAAGAGUUUUCAUAAAAAUCAUAAUUGGAUUUGAGCUGAUUGAAUCUGUCAUAUGACUGAUAUUGAGGUUUGAUGAUUUAUUCAUAACCUGUCAUCUAGUCGAGACUCACGAUAGAGGGACUGAAUCAUACAUUAACUAGACCUUGAGGUUCAUUUCGGUUCUACUAAUUGGUCACUACAUACUGCUAGGUGUCACU